UUAAUUUACAGGUUUUUUAAGGAAUGCCCUCACCCGGAUGAUAAACAAAGGAAAGAGCUUGGUCGUCGAUUAGGGUUGGAGCCUUUACAAGUUAAAUUUUGGUUCCAAAACAAGCGUACUCAAAUGAAGGUAAAGUGUUCAUCUUUCAGAAUUCUCAGGCUUAAAAUUUUCACCCAUGUUUAUCCGUAUAUUAGUACAUUAACUAUUGAGCACAUAAAUGGGAAGUUUAACUGUAAAGGAUUAAAUAUUUUCAGUCUCAACAUGAGCGGCACGAGAACACACAGCUGAGGAAUGAAAACGAUAAGCUACGUUCAGAUAAUAUAAGGUAUAAGGAAGCUCUCAGCAAUGCUACUUGUCCCAACUGUGGAGGACCAGCUUCCGUUGGCGAGAUGUCAUUUGAUGAGCAGCACUUGAGGAUAGAGAAUGCUCGCUUAAGAGAGGAGGUAAUAAGAGCAGACUUGAGACACUUGUAUUAGGAAUAUUGCUUUUUAGUAUGUGUCAAAAGAUUCUUGCUUUAAUGAGAUAGUGCGUUUGGAAAUUUCUAAUCAUUUUGAUCCACAGUUAAAUAAAUGAUUAAGCAAAAAAAUUAGCCUGUAAGUGUUUUUAUAUGUACUUUUGAACUUAUGUACAUGGGUACUCUCUUUUCAGAUUGAUAGGAUUUCUGGAAUUGCUGCAAAGUAUGUUGGCAAACCUUUGCUUUCUUAUGCACAUCUUCCUCCUGGAUCAUCUCGUUCACUUGAUCUUGGACCGGGAAAUUAUGGGCUGCAGACCGGCAUGGACAAUGAGUUAUUUGGUGCGGCUGAUCUUCUUAGGUCGGUCUCCGGACCAGCUGAUGCCAACAAGCCCAUGGUCAUUGAGUUGGCUGUUGCAGCAAUGGAGGAAUUAAUCCGAAUGGCUCAAACUGGAGAGCCUUUGUGGAUGCCUAGCACGGACAAUUCUGCUGAGACUUUGAGUGAAGAGGAAUAUGUCCGCACUUUCCCUCGUCUUAUUGGGCCAAAGCCCUUGGGAUUGAAAUCUGAGGCAUCUCGAGAGUCAGCUAUUGUGAUAAUGAAUCACAUCAGCUUGAUUGAAAUUCUGAUGGAUGUGGUGGGAUUUCUUACAUGCAUAUAUGGAAAUCAUUAUAUAAUUUAUUUAUUUUUUAAUUUCAUUUUAAUCAGCAUUUUUGGUGUCAUUGUGAUUACAGAAUCAAUGGACAAGCGUGUUCUCCAGCAUUGUCUCAAGAGCAAUGAUUGUUGAAGUUUUAUCAACUGGAGUGGCUGGCAACUAUAAUGGAGCUUUACAAGUGGUAUGCAUAAAAAUUUUAUCUUGGAGAUUGCUAUUCUUCACCGCUUAAGCAAGGACAUUUUAUCGGAAACUCUUAGAAAUUGUUAAUCCUAAUGCUUUUAUCUUUGUAGAUGACUGCUGAGUUCCAGGUCCCUUCUCCAUUGGUUCCAACUCGCGAAAACUAUUUUGCAAGAUAUUGCAAACAACAUGGUGAUGGAACUUGGGCUGUGGUGGAUGUUUCUUUGGACAACCUGAGAGCUACCUCUAUACCCAGGUGUAGACGAAGGCCAUCUGGUUGUUUGAUCCAAGAAUUGCCAAAUGGUUACUCAAAGGUAUAACAAAUUCUUGAGUUAAAAUUUCAAUUUAAAUAAAUAUAGGUCUCUAUGUUACUAGUGAUCAUGCUCCUAUCUGCAGGUUAUAUGGGUGGAACACAUUGAGGUAGACGAUAGAGCUGUUCAUACAAUCUACAAACCACUGGUCAAUUCUGGUCUCGCAUUUGGGGCAAGACGCUGGGUAGCGACUUUGGAUAGACAAUGUGAACGUCUUGCAAGUGUAAUGGCCAAUAACAUUUCAGGAGGAGAUGGUGGUGGUACUAACAGAUUCCAAAUUUUACUGUAAAAUGUUAGUUGACAUGAUUUUUUUAGCCUGUGCUAAUUUGUGUAAUUUCUGGUGCAGUGAUAUCAUGUCCAGAAGGUAGAAAGAGUAUGUUGAAGCUGGCAGAAAGAAUGGUAAUGAGCUUCUGCUCUGGGGUCGGUGCUUCAACUGCACACACAUGGACUACACUUUCAGGAAGUGGAGCUGAUGAUGUUAGGGUUAUGACCAGAAAAAGUGUGGAUGAUCCAGGCAGGCCUCCUGGUAUUGUGCUAAGUGCUGCUACAUCAUUUUGGCUCCCAGUUCCGCCAAAAAGAGUUUUUGAUUUUCUUCGUGAUGAGAAUUUGAGAAAUGAGGUAUGGAAUGUUUGUUCAAGACCUUGAAUUUAAAUGUCCAAGUCAAUCUUUGAUGUCACAUUACUUCUGCAGCUCCUAUGAUCAAGUGAAAUACUAAAAAUACAUGGAUUCUUAAAUCGUACUAGGGAAACAAAUAAUCACACGAUCGUCACUAUAUAUUACAGGAUAUGACAGAAAAUAUCCUUAUAUGAGAAAUUAAACAAAAUUUCCUCUACUCUUUGCAAUUUUAGAAGCUUAUUCGAGUGUUUACAAGGAUUCUUGAAGAAAUUACUAACAUUUUAUAUUAUAUAACAAUUACAGUGGGAUAUUCUCUCUAACGAAGGCCUUGUUCAAGAAAUGGCACAUAUUGCAAAUGGCCGUGAUCCGGGCAAUUCUGUCUCAUUACUACGUGUCAAUGUAAGUUGUUGAUAUAUCUUUUGAGCAGUUUAUAAUCCAAUCAUUGGUACCAGAACUUCCCCCAAAUGACUGGAUUGUUCCUUAUAAUCUGUUGAAAAUGUAAUCUGCAGAGUGCAAACUCAAGCCAAAGCAAUAUGCUAAUUUUACAAGAGAGUUGUACAGAUUCAACAGGCUCCUAUGUUAUAUAUGCUCCAGUUGAUAUUAUUGCCAUGAAUGUGGUCUUAAGUGGAGGCGAUCCAGACUAUGUUGCCCUCUUACCAUCUGGUUUUGCUAUACUUCCUGAUGGACCUAUAAAUCCAGCUGGAGGGAUUAAUCCCGAGGUUGGGUCUGGUGGAUCAUUACUGACUGUCGCCUUUCAGAUAUUGGUAGAUUCAGUUCCAACAGCAAAACUUUCUCUUGGUUCAGUGGCAACUGUUAAUAGCCUUAUCAAGUGCACCGUAGAAAGGAUCAAGGGUGCUUUGCUGUGCGAAGGUGCAUGACCAAAAGGUCUGCUUCCUGGUAAGCCUUUCUUUUUAAACUUAUUCUUGGAUUUGACAAGUAAUUAUUCUACCUUAUGCCCUGUUCUGAAAGAUAUCCCCUUAGAGCUUUCCAUGCCUGAAAGCAGGAAAUAUUUAUUUAGAUGGAAAUGUGAUAAAUUUUAUAAGUACAUGCUGUACUCCUAAAUAAACCAACCUUUGAUAUUGCAAAAAAAAAGUAGACAGACAUGAAAACUGAUUUUACAUUUUAAAAUCUACUUCUGGUUAGUGCUACAACUAUCUGUUAAAUAUUUGAUCAACCAUAAACGAAGCAUCUUCCUUUUUUUUCGCCUAAAUCUUGACAGUCGCUACGUCCUUAAAAACAGUUUCUUCAUUCUGACAUCAUUUUUUGACUGUCUUAUGUUGCAGUUUAGACUUGAAACGAAGAGCAAAUGGGAAAGAAGAAUAUGUUUACCGUAGGAUGUGGGAGGAAGGAAAGAAGUCAAGAACGCACCUUGUAUAAUCCUUGCUGUGUAGUGUUAAUUAUCUUGGAUGAAGAAACAUACUGAGUUUCACCACUCAG
This 3644-nucleotide small RNA is filed under the name Olea europaea subsp. europaea. Lineage: Eukaryota; Viridiplantae; Streptophyta; Magnoliopsida; Lamiales; Oleaceae. The record is from RNAcentral.